RNAcentral lists this ribosomal RNA (745 nucleotides) under uncultured bacterium. Its description in RNAcentral is "bacterial SSU rRNA". It matches the Rfam family "Bacterial small subunit ribosomal RNA", at positions 33 to 773 of the family's 1533-position model. The record is from RNAcentral.
ACGCUGGCGGCAGGCCUAACACAUGCAAGUCGAGCGGUAGAGAGAAGCUUGCUUCUCUUGAGAGCGGCGGACGGGUGAGUAAUGCCUAGGAAUCUGCCUGGUAGUGGGGGAUAACGUUCGGAAACGGACGCUAAUACCGCAUACGUCCUACGGGAGAGAGCAGGGGACCUUCGGGCCUUGCGCUAUCAGAUGUGCCCAGAUGGGAUUAGCUAGUAGGUGGGGUAAUGGCUCACCUAGGCGACGAUCCCUAGCUGGUCUGAGAGGAUGACCAGCCACACUGGAACUGAGACACGGUCCAGACUCCUACGGGAGGCAGCAGUGGGGAAUAUUGCACAAUGGGCGCAAGCCUGAUGCAGCCAUGCCGCGUGUGUGAAGAAGGCCUUAGGGUUGUAAAGCACUUUCAGCGAGGAGGAAGGCGUUGUAGUUAAUAGCUGCAACGAUUGACGUUACUCGCAGAAGAAGCACCGGCUAACUCCGUGCCAGCAGCCGCGGUAAUACGGAGGGUGCAAGCGUUAAUCGGAAUUACUGGGCGUAAAGCGCACGCAGGCGGUUUGUUAAGUCAGAUGUGAAAUCCCCGAGCUUAACUUGGGAACUGCAUUUGAAACUGGCAAGCUAGAGUCUUGUAGAGGGGGGUAGAAUUCCAGGUGUAGCGGUGAAAUGCGUAGAGAUCUGGAGGAAUACCGGUGGCGAAGGCGGCCCCCUGGACAAAGACUGACGCUCAGGUGCGAAAGCGUGGGGAGCAAAC